CCUACGGGAGGCAGCAGUGAGGAAUAUUGGUCAAUGGCCGUAAGGCUGAACCAGCCAAGUAGCGUGAGGGAAGACUGCCCUAUGGGUUGUAAACCUCUUUUAUGCGGGGACAAAGGUGUCCACGUGUGGAUGUUUGCAGGUACCGCAUGAAUAAGCAUCGGCUAAUUCCGUGCCAGCAGCCGCGGUAAUACGGAAGGUCCGGGCGUUAUCCGGAUUUAUUGGGUUUAAAGGGAGCGUAGGCCGGAGUUGAAGGGUGCCGUGAAAUUUUGUGGCUCAACCAUGGGAGUGCGGUGCAAACUGGAGCCCUUGAGUGCGCGAAAGGUAGGCGGAAUGCGUGGUGUAGCGGUGAAAUGCUUAGAUAUCACGCAGAACCCCGAUUGCGAAGGCAGCCUGCCGGCGCGUAACUGACGCUGAUGCUCGAAAGCGCGGGUAUCGAACAGGAUUAGAUACCCUUGUAGUC
This 460-nucleotide ribosomal RNA is filed under the name uncultured bacterium. Its description in RNAcentral is "partial 16S ribosomal RNA". It matches the Rfam family "Bacterial small subunit ribosomal RNA", at positions 338 to 795 of the family's 1533-position model. The record is from RNAcentral.